AUAUUUAUAAACAGCACAUAUUCUAAAAUUGGAACGAUACAGAGAUUAGCAUGUCCCCUGUGCAAGGAGAACUCACAGAAGAAUUCCAUAUUUUU
This is a small nuclear RNA of Podarcis muralis (Common wall lizard), 95 nucleotides long. NCBI's taxonomy places the organism in Eukaryota, Metazoa, Chordata, Lepidosauria, Squamata, Lacertidae. The record is from Ensembl.